This 888-nucleotide ribosomal RNA is filed under the name Polypedates leucomystax (Java whipping frog). RNAcentral describes it as "partial 16S ribosomal RNA". It matches the Rfam family "Bacterial large subunit ribosomal RNA", at positions 1112 to 2605 of the family's 2925-position model. Lineage: Eukaryota; Metazoa; Chordata; Amphibia; Anura; Rhacophoridae. The record is from RNAcentral.
GCAGCCACCUUUUAAAACGCGUCAAAGCGUAACCUUAACCCCCAAAUACCAUUAAUCUUCAUGAACCCUCAAUUUAUAAUGAAUGACUCCAUAUUUAUAUGGAAGACACCAUGCUAGGAUUAGUAACAAGAAUUUAUAAUUCUCCAAAAUGCAAGUAUAAACCAACAUGGAUAGACCAUUGGUAGUCACCGAAUCUAAAUUUACUGCAAUAACACCCACAAGAAAACUCUGCAGUACUUACUCGUUAACCUAACACCAGCGCAUUAUAGGAAAGAUUUAAAAAAAGAGAAGGAAUUCGGCAAAUGACGGCCCCGCCUGUUUACCAAAAACAUCGCCUCUUGACUUGUAAUAAGAGGUCCAGCCUGCCCAGUGAAUUUUAAACGGCCGCGGUAUCCUAACCGCGCGAAGGUAGCAUAAUCACUUGUUCUUUAAAUGGGGACUUGUAUCAACGGCAUCACGAGGGUUUUACUGUCUCCUCUUUUUGAUCAGUGAAAUUGAUCUUCCCGUGAAGAAGCGGGAAUAAGCUUAUAAGACGAGAAGACCCCAUGGAGCUUAAAACCAAAUAACAACUUAACCACUUACCCCACUAUAAAUUUAAGCCCUGUUAUAAGGUUUUUGGUUGGGGUGACCGCGGAGUAAAACACAUCCUCCACGACGGAAAGAACACACUCUUUAUUUAAGAACCACAAUUCUAGAAAUUAGUAUACUAACGUUUACUGACCCGACAAUCGAUCAACGGACCAAGUUACCCUGGGGAUAACAGCGCAAUCUACUUCAAGAGCCCAUAUCGACAAGUAGGCUUACGACCUCGAUGUUGGAUCAGGGUAUCCCGGUGGUGCAGCCGCUACCGAAGGUUCGUUUGUUCAACGAUUAAAACCCUACGUGAUC